Molecule: unclassified non-coding RNA, 774 nt
Filed under: Hevea brasiliensis (rubber tree)
Lineage: Eukaryota; Viridiplantae; Streptophyta; Magnoliopsida; Malpighiales; Euphorbiaceae
Source: RNAcentral
UUUAUUUUUUAUUUUUUACAUCCUAGUCCGUUCCGCUUCUCUAUACAUCCCUCUCUCCCCUGGCCGAUUGAGUGUGGUCUCAGAAAACUUGGCAUGUCUUACACUAAAUAGGAAAUAAAACAGAAAGAUCAUACAUGAUAGCGACGAAUUGGAUGAUUUCAGUUUUUUUUUUUCUUUACUUUUUUACCAGAUUUGCAAAAUACCAUUUUCGUUUCUAGUAAUUUGGUUGAAGAAUUGCACUAACGAAGUGAAAUGAUGAAGCGAGAAUGAUUUUACGGCGACAUUUACGUGUCUGUGUUCCUGCCACAUCCCAUUCGUUCCUUCAAACUAAGCCUUUCAUUUGGGGUACCAAAGGAGACUAGUGUGCCAUAUGUUUUAUCGAUACUGCUUUCUUGAUAUUCUGGUUCACGGUCUUCCAUAGGUACAGAGUCUUUCAGAUAUUUAGAGGAAAACGACCUAGAAAUUUGAUGGAAAGAGUAGAAUUCUAUAAAGUAAUUAUUGACUGUAUAGCGUUAUAAAUAUUGAAUAGAAUUUUUUUAAUGUAAAAGAGAGUAGCAUGAAACAUCAUCAUUUCGUAUUAAGACAGGUGAAAUAUUGGUCAAUGCAUGCCUUCCCUUUCAAACUCUUUUUUCGGUUUGCUUGUUUUUUUAUUGUCAUGAGCUGAUCAGUGUCUUUUCUUUAUCUCCAUAUGUUUUUGACUGCUUGGACCCCAAACUUGUUUUGAUGUGGAACGGGGCGAUUCAUUUUCUGCAGGGUUAAAUUGAACGUACUAUG